Non-coding RNA from Pelodiscus sinensis (Chinese soft-shelled turtle), 1917 nucleotides. The record is from RefSeq and is a predicted model, not a curated record. NCBI's taxonomy places the organism in Eukaryota, Metazoa, Chordata, Testudines, Trionychidae.
AAAGGGAUUUUUGAACAAGGCUCCUGCAGCCACACCGGGCGUGACACGGAGCCAUGGUGGACCGUGGACUUGGGCAAGCGGCAUUCGGUCUCUGUGGUGAUCGUGAAGAACAGAGAAGACGAGUGCUGUUGGAAGAGGCUGCAGGGGGCCCAGAUCCACGUGGGAGACUCCUUCGUGAACUAUGGCAAAGACAACCCCCUGUGAGUUGCUUCCCCCUUGUCUGCGCUGCGGGACCAUCAACGACCCCAGUCUCGGAUCCCUCAGCACCAUCUGCUGCAGUGGGCUGGAGGGCCGCUACGUCACCAUCGUCAUCCCGGGCAGGGCGGAGUAUCUGUCCCUGUGUGAGGUCGAGGUUCUAUCUCAGGGCUGUAUCACACCACCAGGAGCUCAGAACUUGGCGCUGCGACGUCAGGCUGCUCAGUCGUCUUCAUUCCUGGGGACGAUAUUUGACAUGGCAGGAAAUGCUGUAGAUGGAAAUCGCAAUGGGGUCUGGGAACGUGGCUCCUGCAGCCUCACCAAGCGUGACACGGAGCCCUGGUGGACCGUGGACUUGGGCCGACGGCAUUCCGUCUCCAUGGUGAUGGUGAAGAACAGAGAAGACGGCUCCUAUUGGAAGAGACUGAAGGGGGCUGAGAUCCACGUGGGAGACUCCCUGACUGACAAUGGCAAGAGCAAUCCCCUCUGCGGGACCAUUAACGACACCAGACCUGGAUCCCUCAGCACCAUCUGCUGCAAUGGCCGGCAGGGCCGCUACGUCACCACCACCAUCCCGGGCAGGGCGGAGUAUCUCUCCUUGUGUGAGGUCGAGGUUCUGUCUCAGAGCUGUGUCUCACAACCACGGGCUUUUAACUUGGCGCUGGGACGUCCGGCCACGCAGUCGUCCACGUUGGCGAACACGACUGGACAAGCCGUGGCUGGUAGGGCCGUGGAUGGAAAACACGAUGGGAAGCUGGAACAAGGCUCCUGCAGCCAAACUCAGCGCGACAUGGAGCCCUGGUGGAAUGUGGACUUGGUCAGCCGAUAUUCUGUCUCCAUGGUGAUCGUGAAGCACUUGGAAGACGAGUGCUGCGGGGAGAGACUGAAGGGGGCCGAGAUCCACGUGGGAGACUCCCUGGUGAACCACGGCAAGAACAACCCCCUCUGCGGGACCAUCACGGAGACCAAGCCUGGCGCUCUCAGCACCAUCUGCUGCAAUGGCCUGGCAGGCCGCUACAUCACCAUCGUCAUCCCGGGCAGGGCAGGGAAUCUCACCCUGUGUGAGGUUGAGGUCAUAUCUCAGGGCUGCGCCCCACGAUCAAGUGCUGCGGGACUAUCACUGACAUCGUUCUGGGGUCCUUAGCUGAACGGCCGUUACGUCAGCAUCACCAGCCCCUGCAGGGUGGAGCACCUCACCCUGUGGCACCAGCUGGAGAAGUGUGCAGAUAAUGGAUGUGGACCCUAAGGUAGCCAAGUGACGUUGCAGAGACGCAGGGACACAGCCGGGAAGGCUGAAAGGCAGGACAGUCCCUUUAAAAGUGGGACAUCGAGUCACUGUUGGCAAACUUGACUUCGUUAGUCACAUCCUCAUUGGUCCGUGUCCGUCGGCUUGCAAAGCAGUAACCAGUCACCGUGCCACCCACUGGGAACUGGAUAAAAGCGGCUGGACACCCACAGACCGGCCCAAGACGGGAUAACAAGGCUGUAGCGGUUGAAGCUCCUGGAAGAGAACUGGAGUUUCUACCUGUCUCCCAAAGCCGGUGACGGCAGGUGCCCAGGUGAGCUGGUGAGUCCCUCUUCCCUUCUGCCCCAGCUGAUCAGUGGACUUUUAUACCUGCCUUUGCCUCCUGCCAGGCGAGGCCAUGGCCCCUCUGACUUAAAGCCCUUCCAGAGACACUCCCUCGAUACAGCGAGGGUGCGAUUCACCCCAGUGCCAUUGGC